This 505-nucleotide ribosomal RNA is filed under the name uncultured bacterium. Its description in RNAcentral is "partial 16S ribosomal RNA". It matches the Rfam family "Bacterial small subunit ribosomal RNA", at positions 28 to 507 of the family's 1533-position model. The record is from RNAcentral.
GACGAACGCUGGCGGCGUGCCUAAUACAUGCAAGUAGAACGCACAGUUUAUACCGUAGCUUGCUACACCAUAGACUGUGAGUUGCGAACGGGUGAGUAACGCGUAGGUAACCUGCCUGGUAGCGGGGGAUAACUAUUGGAAACGAUAGCUAAUACCGCAUAAUAUUAAUUAUUGCAUGAUAAUUAAUUGAAAGGUGCAAUCGCACCACUACCAGAUGGACCUGCGUUGUAUUAGCUAGUAGGUGAGGUAACGGCUCACCUAGGCGACGAUACAUAGCCGACCUGAGAGGGUGAUCGGCCACACUGGGACUGAGACACGGCCCAGACUCCUACGGGAGGCAGCAGUAGGGAAUCUUCGGCAAUGGACGAAAGUCUGACCGAGCAACGCCGCGUGAGUGAAGAAGGUUUUCGGAUCGUAAAGCUCUGUUGUAAGAGAAGAACGGGUGUGAGAGUGGAAAGUUCACACUGUGACGGUAUCUUACCAGAAAGGGACGGCUAACUACGUG